UCCGGUUGAUCCCGCCGGACCCUACUGCUAUCGGGGUGGGACUAAGACAUGCGAGUUGAGCGUCUCUAGCUAUGUUGAGACGCGGCAUACGGCUCAGUAACACGUGGCUAACCUACCCUCAGGACGGGGACAAACCCGGGAAACUGGGGCUAAUACCAGAUAGGCGAGGACGCCUGGAAUGGUUUCUCACCCAAAGGAUUUUGAAAACACGCUUUUCAAAGUCGCCUGGGGAUGGGGCCGCGUCCGAUCAGGUUGUUGGUGAGGUAACGGCUCACCAAGCCUAUAACCGGUACGGGCCGUGAGAGCGGUAGCCCGGAGAUGGGCACUGAGACAAGGGCCCAGGCCCUACGGGGCGCAGCAGUCGCGAAAACUCCGCAAUGCACGAAAGUGUGACGGGGCUACCCCGAGUGCCGUCCGCUGAGGAUGGCUUUUCCUCGGUGUAACUAGCCGGGGGAAUAAGGAAGAGGGCAAGACUGGUGUCAGCCGCCGCGGUAAAUACCAGCUCUCCGAGUGGUAGGGAUGAUUAUUGGGCUUAAAGCGUCCGUAGCUGGCUUAGCAAGUCUCCUGUUAAAUUCAGCGACCUAAUCGUUGAGCCGCGGGAGAUACUACUAGGCUGGGAGGCGGGAGAGGUCUACGGUACUUUCGGGGUAGGGGUGAAAUCCUAUAAUCCCGGGAGGACCACCAGUGGCGAAGGCUGUCGACUAGAACGCGCUCGACGGUGAGGGACGAAAGCUGGGGGAGCGAACCGGAUUAGAUACCCGGGUAGUCCCAGCUGUAAACGAUGCGGGCUAGGUGUUGGUGUGGCUACGGGCCACUUCAGUGCCGCAGGGAAGCCAUUAAGCCCGCCGCCUGGGGAGUACGGCCGCAAGGCUGAAACUUAAAGGAAUUGGCGGGGGAGCACCACAAGGCGUGAAGCUUGCGGUUCAAUUGGAUUCAACGCCGGG
RNAcentral lists this ribosomal RNA (944 nucleotides) under uncultured archaeon. RNAcentral's name for it is "bacterial SSU rRNA". It matches the Rfam family "Archaeal small subunit ribosomal RNA", at positions 1 to 922 of the family's 1478-position model. The record is from RNAcentral.